Molecule: ribosomal RNA, 252 nt
Filed under: uncultured bacterium
Lineage: Bacteria
Description: partial 16S ribosomal RNA
Rfam family: Bacterial small subunit ribosomal RNA
Source: RNAcentral
UACGAAGGGGGCGAGCGUUGUCCGGAUUUACUGGGCGUAAAAGCGCGCAGGCGGUCGUACAAGUCGCGUGUGAAAGCCCCCGGCUCAACUGGGGAGGGUCACGCGAUACUGUUCGACUCGAAGGCAGGAGAGGGAAGUGGAAUUCCCGGUGUAGUGGUGAAAUGCGUAGAUAUCGGGAGGAACACCAGUGGCGAAGGCGACUUCCUGGCCUGUUCUUGACGCUGAGGCGCGAAAGCUAGGGUAGCAAACGGG